RNAcentral lists this ribosomal RNA (279 nucleotides) under uncultured bacterium. RNAcentral describes it as "partial 16S ribosomal RNA". It matches the Rfam family "Bacterial small subunit ribosomal RNA", at positions 506 to 784 of the family's 1533-position model. The record is from RNAcentral.
UGCCAGCCGCCGCGGUAAUACGGAGGGUCCAAGCGUUAUCCGGAUUCAUUGGGUUUAAAGGGUACGUAGGCGGAUAAAUAAGUCAGUGGUGAAAGCCCGAAGCUCAACUUCGGAACUGCCAUUGAUACUGUUUAUCUUGAAUUUGGUUGAAGUGGGCGGAAUAUGACAUGUAGCGGUGAAAUGCAUAGAUAUGUCAUGGAACACCAAUAGUGAAGACAGCUCACUAAGCCAAUAUUGACGCUGAGGUGCGAAAGCUAGGGGAGCGAACGGGAUUAGAUA